This 484-nucleotide ribosomal RNA is filed under the name uncultured bacterium. Its description in RNAcentral is "partial 16S ribosomal RNA". It matches the Rfam family "Bacterial small subunit ribosomal RNA", at positions 30 to 507 of the family's 1533-position model. The record is from RNAcentral.
AGUGAACGCUGGCGGCAGGCCUAACACAUGCAAGUCGAGCGGCAGCGCGGGGGCAACCCUGGCGGCGAGCGGCGGACGGGUGAGGAAUUCGUCGGAAUCUGCCUUUUUGUGGGGGAUAACGUAGGGAAACUUACGCUAAUACCGCAUACGUCCUACGGGAGAAAGUGGGGGACCGCAAGGCCUCACGCAGAAAGAUGAGCCGACGACCGAUUAGCUAGUUGGUGGGGUAAAGGCCCACCAAGGCGACGAUCGGUAGCUGGUCUGAGAGGAUGAUUGGCCACACUGGGACGGAGACAGGGACAAGACUCCUACGGGAGGCAGCAGUGGGGAAUAUUGGACAAUGGGCGCAAGCCUGAUCCAGCCAUGCCGCGUGUGUGAAGAAGGCCUUCGGGUUGUAAAGCACUUUUGUCCGGAAAGAAAUCCCUGGAGCUAAUACCUUCGGGGGAUGACGGUACCGGAAGAAUAAGCACCGGCUAACUUCGUG